Molecule: non-coding RNA, 1794 nt
Organism: Plasmodium blacklocki (nom. inval.)
Lineage: Eukaryota; Apicomplexa; Aconoidasida; Haemosporida; Plasmodiidae
Source: the annotation of a GenBank genome assembly
UAUGCUAAUAUAACAGUUAGUAGGAGUGUAACAUAAUAUAUAUUAGUAGUAGUAAAGAAUAUUCGGUAAUGAUGGUAUAAUUUCUUAUAGUUCGUAAUAUGUACGGCUUAAGAAUGGAAGAGUAAAAAAAUAUAUGAUACUUUUUCUGUUUUGAUCGGAACAUCAUAUUAUAUAUGAUCCACUAUAUUAUAUUUCAUUAAAUAUAAGUAGUAGGAUAGCUCUUCUGACCACAUUUAAAAUCGUUUAUGAUAUUGAACAUAGCAUUAGAAAAAGAAAACCCAGUUUGUUUUUCUUUUGCAACAUAUAUACUAAUAUGGUAUGGUAUAUAUGAAAGUCAUGUAGUUGGUUAACUAAAGGGAUGUAGGAUAUAUGUAGGAGUAUAAUAAUAGUGAGAUUAUUUAUGCAUAUAUAUAUGUGUGUGGAUGGUACUAUGGCGGAUAUAACCGGUACUAAAUAAUCAUGAAAAAGACUACGUAUAUAUAAUAUCAUUGUUUUUUGCAAUGAUAUUAUAUAUAAAAGGAACCUUAUAUAUGUAUUCGUUAAGGAUGCAUAUAUGAGGUGGGGAAAUAUAAUUUGGUGGGUAAGAACGAAUGGGGGUACGGGUAGAUGGGUACAGGUACAUGUGUACAGGCACAUUACCGACACAUGGGUACAUGCACAUGGGUACAGGCGCGUGGGUACAGGCGCAUGGGUACAGAUAAGGGCUACAGAAGGGCUACAGAAAAAGAUCUAAAGGAUGAAUAUGGAAAAGGGCUACAGAAGGGCUACAGAAAAAGAUCUAAUGUAUGAAUAUGGAAAAGGGCUACAGAAGGGCUACAGAAAAAAUCUAAUGUAUGAAAUGGAAAAGGGCUACAGAAGGGCUACAGAAAAAAUCUAAUGUAUGAAUAUGGAAAAGGGCUACAUAAAAAAUGUGCAAAACUGAUACAGAAAACGGCACAGGAGCAGCCAAAUAUGCACAUAGGAAAACACAGAAAAAGAUUCAAAAAUUCUAAAGUACGUUUUUAAUAUCAGUUGGUACUUUAGAUAAAUGUCUUACUAUGGGUAUGGAAUAAAUUGUAAUUUUAAUUAUAAUUUAUUUGUGUUUUUUAUUAUAUAGAUACAUGUAACAAUGAAUUAAAUAUAUUUGUUUGUUUAUUACAUGUGCAUAUAUAUAAAAGGAAUAAACUGCAUUUUUGUUUUUUUUUUUUUUUUUUGUGUUUAAUUAAUUACUUGAAUUUUUUACAUGAAUAAAUAUAUAAUAUGGAUAUUUACUAUUAAGUAUAAUAUUCCAUAUUAUUUCUAAGUUUUGUCUUAGAUAACAUUUGUUUUUAAUUUAGGUGUUUAGGAUUUAAAAGGAUUUAACUAUAUUAUCAUAAUUAUAGUUAUUCUUUGGAAGUUUGACCAUUCAGAACGUGUAUAUAACAAUCCUUUUGUUAUAAGAAGACAGGAUUGUUUUUAUAAUCCCAUAUGUAUGAGAUAAUGUAGGUAAAAGCAUUUUAUAAUUCUUAUUAUAAUAAUGAAAAAAAAAAAAGAAAAAAAAAAAAAAAAAAAGAAAAAAAAAAAAAAAAAAAAAAAAAAAAAGAAAAAAAAAAAAAAAAAAAAAAGAAAAAAAGAAAAAAAAAAAAAAAAAAAAUAAAAAAAUAAAAAAGAAAAAAUAAAAAAUAAAAAAAAAAAAAAAAAUAAAAAAGAAAAAGAAAAAAAAAAAAAAAAAAAAAAGAAAAAAAAAAAAAAAAAAAAAAAAGAAAAAAAAAAGAAAAAAAAAAUAAAAAAAAAAAAAAAAAAAAAAAAAAGAAAAAUAAAAAGUAAAAAGUAAAA